This 232-nucleotide ribosomal RNA is filed under the name uncultured bacterium. RNAcentral's name for it is "partial 16S ribosomal RNA". It matches the Rfam family "Bacterial small subunit ribosomal RNA", at positions 99 to 334 of the family's 1533-position model. The record is from RNAcentral.
CGGACGGGUGAGUAAUGUAUGGGGAUCUGCCCGAUGGCGGGGGAUAACUACUGGAAACGGUAGCUAAUACCGCAUAAUGUCUGCGGACCAAAGCGGGGGACCUCCGGGCCUCGCGCCAUCAGAUGAACCCAUAUGGGAUUAGCUAGUAGGUAAGGUAACGGCUUACCUAGGCGACGAUCCCUAGCUGGUCUGAGAGGAUGAUCAGCCACACUGGGACUGAGACACGGCCCAG